Molecule: ribosomal RNA, 260 nt
Filed under: uncultured bacterium
Lineage: Bacteria
Description: partial 16S ribosomal RNA
Rfam family: Bacterial small subunit ribosomal RNA
Source: RNAcentral
GUCCACGCCCUAAACGAUGGAUACUCGACAUUUGCGAUAUACAGUAAGUGUCUGAGCGAAAGCAUUAAGUAUCCCACCUGGGAAGUACGAUCGCAAGAUUGAAACUCAAAGGAAUUGACGGGGUCCGCACAAGCGGUGGAGCAUGUGGUUUAAUUCGAUGAUACGCGAGGAACCUUACCUGGGCUAGAAUGCGGUUUGACCGUGGGUGAAAGCUCACUUUGUAGCAAUACACAGAUCGUAAGGUGCUGCAUGGCUGUCGU